CGAACGCUGGCGGCGUGCUUAACACAUGCAAGUCGAGCGAGAAAGCGGGUCUUCGGAUCUGUGAGUACAGCGGCGAACGGGUGAGUAUCACGUGAGUAACGUGCCCUAGGGUGGGGGAUAACAGUGCGAAAGCGCUGCUAAUACCGCAUAAGCUCACAUUGCCUUCGGGUGAGGUGAGAAAAGGGGGCCUCUGUAUAUGCUCCCGCCCUUCGAUCGGCUCGCGCCCCAUUAGCUUGUUGGUGAGGUAACGGCUCACCAAGGCUACUAUGGGUAGCUGGUCUGAGAGGAUGAUCAGCCACACUGGAACUGAGACACGGUCCAGACUCCUACGGGAGGCAGCAGUGGGGAAUCUUGCGCAAUGGGCGAAAGCCUGACGCAGCAACGCCGCGUGUGUGAUGAAGGCCUUCGGGUUGUAAAGCACUGUCAAGAGGGAAGAAAUGCUAUCGGGUAAUAUCUGGUGGCUAUGACGGUACCUCUGAAGGAAGCACCGGCUAACUCC
Molecule: ribosomal RNA, 499 nt
Filed under: uncultured bacterium
Lineage: Bacteria
Description: bacterial SSU rRNA
Rfam family: Bacterial small subunit ribosomal RNA
Source: RNAcentral